Molecule: long non-coding RNA, 900 nt
Organism: Wyeomyia smithii (pitcher-plant mosquito)
Lineage: Eukaryota; Metazoa; Arthropoda; Insecta; Diptera; Culicidae
Exons: 2
Source: RefSeq, a predicted model, not a curated record
AGAAGAGCGGCGUAGAAAAAAUUAACUCAGUAGAUCCGUAAUUUGCACACAGUAGCCGUCCGGCGGGCGUCGCGAGCGAUCACAAGUUGUGAUUCACAACCGGCACAACUAGAGGAAAAAAACGUGACUCAUUAUUGUCGUUUUCUUCCGAGUGGGGCCCGAUUGCGAUGACCCUUUCCUCUGUACGUAAUUUUUAAAUCAGACGGUAUUGUAGUUGUAGUAAUUCGAUUGCAACAGACGGAUCAAUUUCCGCGUAGAUUGAUUUGAAUUUGGUGCACCCUGAGGUCGUAACCGCGGCGGGUUCACAACUUAUGGACAUUGUUCGGCAAUUAUCGGAAGCAACUGUUCAAUUGAAAUGAGACGCUGCUGGAUUGUGGAUCUUUUUGUGCUGAUUUCUGUCUGCUUACUGAGUAACUUCGUGCUGAUGAAUGAACGCGAUCGAAUCGUUCGGGCGGAGAGGGUUAUGGAAGAUGAUUACAGUCGGCAUCAACUGUUGUGGAAUUAUUUUAUGACCCGUGAGAAGGCGAAUAGUUGAGAUCUGCAUCGACGGUGAUGGCUGGCUGCCUUUAAACAUGUGGAGUCGGAUAAUUCACACUUCAAAAAUGUUGAUUACCAAAUUGAUUAACUUUAAAUUAAACCGAGAAAGCCUUGCUGCAAGAAGCCUGUUCACAUCUUCCGUGGGCCAGUGGUGGAAUAUCAUAUUGGAGGCAAGCAUGUUAUUUUCUAGUCAAAAUGAUAAGUUUCAUUGACUCGUCAUUUUUCUCGCCGAGAACUCACUGAUAAAAUUAUGGAAGCCAGAAACUCAUGUCAAACUCAAUCCUGUAAUUAGAGUCUCGUAUAAAAAAUGGUGUUGAACAUCCAAAGAAAGUAUGAAAAUAAACAGAUUAUAUUUUUCCAAAA